UACGUAGGGUGCAAGCGUUAAUCGGAAUUACUGGGCGUAAAGCGUGCGCAGGCGGUUCGCUGUGUCCCUGUGUGAAAGCCCCCGGGCUCAACCUGGGAAUUGCAUUUGAGACUGCGUAGCUAGGGUGCGGAAGAGGGAAGCGGAAUUUCCGGUGUAGCGGUGAAAUGCGUAGAUAUCGGAAGGAACACCAGUGGCGAAAGCGGCUUCCCUGGUCCAGCACCGACG
RNAcentral lists this ribosomal RNA (225 nucleotides) under uncultured bacterium. Its description in RNAcentral is "partial 16S ribosomal RNA". It matches the Rfam family "Bacterial small subunit ribosomal RNA", at positions 524 to 745 of the family's 1533-position model. The record is from RNAcentral.